This 484-nucleotide ribosomal RNA is filed under the name uncultured bacterium. RNAcentral's name for it is "partial 16S ribosomal RNA". It matches the Rfam family "Bacterial small subunit ribosomal RNA", at positions 29 to 523 of the family's 1533-position model. The record is from RNAcentral.
AGUGAACGCUGGCGGCGUGCUUAACACAUGCAAGUCGAACGAGAACGGAUUAUAGCUUGCUAUAAUUGUCAGCUAAGUGGCGCACGGGUGAGUAAUGUAUAGGUAAUAUGCCUCUUACUAAGGGAUAACAAAUGGAAACGUUUGCUAAUACCUUAUACUCCUUAUUAACAUAAGUUAAUAAGGGAAAGAUUUAUUGGUAAGAGAUUAGCCUGUAUUGUAUCAGUUAGUUGGUGGGGUAAUGGCUUACCAAGACUAUGACACAUAACUGGUUUGAGAGGAUGAUCAGUCACACUGGAACUGAGACACGGUCCAGGCUCCUACGGGAGGCAGCAGUGGGGAAUAUUGCACAAUGGACGGAAGUCUGAUGCAGCAACGCCGCGUGGAGGAUGACACAUUUCGGUGCGUAACCUCCUUUUAUAUGAGAAGAUAAUGACGGUAUUAUAUGAAUAAGCACCGGCUAACUCCGUGCCAGCCGCCGCCGUAA